This 63-nucleotide transfer RNA is filed under the name Rattus norvegicus (Norway rat). It matches the Rfam family "tRNA". Rfam says of the family: Transfer RNA (tRNA) molecules are approximately 80 nucleotides in length. The record is from Rfam by way of RNAcentral. Lineage: Eukaryota; Metazoa; Chordata; Mammalia; Rodentia; Muridae.
GGGGAUUUAGCUCAGUGGUAGAGCGUUUGCCUAGCAAGUGCAAGGCCCUGGGUUCAGUCCCCU